GAUGAACGCUGGCGGCGUGCCUAAUACAUGCAAGUCGAGCGAACGGACGAGAAGCUUGCUUCUCUGAUGUUAGCGGCGGACGGGUGAGUAACACGUGGAUAACCUACCUAUAAGACUGGGAUAACUUCGGGAAACCGGAGCUAAUACCGGAUAAUAUUUUGAACCGCAUGGUUCAAAAGUGAAAGACGGUCUUGCUGUCACUUAUAGAUGGAUCCGCGCUGCAUUAGCUAGUUGGUAAGGUAACGGCUUACCAAGGCAACGAUGCAUAGCCGACCUGAGAGGGUGAUCGGCCACACUGGAAGUGAGACACGGUCCAGACUCCUACGGGAGGCAGCAGUAGGGAAUCUUCCGCAAUGGGCGAAAGCCUGACGGAGCAACGCCGCGUGAGUGAUGAAGGUCUUCGGAGCGUAAAACUCUGUUAUUAGGGAAGAACAUAUGUGUAAGUAACUGUGCACAUCUUGACGGUACCUAAUCAGAAAGCCACGGCUAACUACGUG
This 497-nucleotide ribosomal RNA is filed under the name uncultured bacterium. Its description in RNAcentral is "partial 16S ribosomal RNA". It matches the Rfam family "Bacterial small subunit ribosomal RNA", at positions 28 to 507 of the family's 1533-position model. The record is from RNAcentral.